Molecule: ribosomal RNA, 510 nt
Filed under: uncultured Bacteroidota bacterium
Lineage: Bacteria; Pseudomonadati; Bacteroidota
Description: bacterial SSU rRNA
Rfam family: Bacterial small subunit ribosomal RNA
Source: RNAcentral
UUUGAGACCGGCGCACGGGUGCGUAACGCGCGUGCAAUCUACCCUUUACUGGAGAAUAGCCCGGAGAAAUUCGGAUUAAUGCUCCAUAUGCUCGUAGGAUCUCCUGAUCCAGCGAGGAAAGCUCCGGCGGUAAAGGAUGAGCAUGCGUCCCAUUAGCUUGUUGGUGAGGUAACGGCUCACCAAGGCGACGAUGGGUAGGGGGCCUGAGAGGGCGAUCCCCCACACUGGUACUGAGACACGGACCAGACUCCUACGGGAGGCAGCAGUGAGGAAUAUUGGGCAAUGGAGGCAACUCUGACCCAGCCAUGCCGCGUGCAGGAAGACGGUCCUCUGGAUUGUAAACUGCUUUUAUUAGGGAAUAAACCCUCCUACGUGUAGGAGGCUGAAGGUACCUGAUGAAUAAGCAUCGGCUAACUCCGUGCCAGCAGCCGCGGUAAUACGGAGGAUGCAAGCGUUAUCCGGAUUUAUUGGGUUUAAAGGGUCCGUAGGCGGGUAUUUAAGUCAGUGGUG